CAGCAGCAGCCGCGGUAAUACGAAGGGUGCAAGCGUUAAUCGGAACUACUGGGCGUAAAGCGUGCGUAGGCGGUUUGUUAAGUCUGCUGUGAAAUCCCCGGGCUCAACCUGGGAAUGGCAGUGGAUACUGGCAAGCUAGAGUGUGUCAGAGGAUGGUGGAAUUCCCGGUGUAGCGGUGAAAUGCGUAGAGAUCGGGAGGAACAUCAGUGGCGAAGGCGGCCAUCUGGGACAACACUGACGCUGAGGCACGAAAGCGUGGGGAGCAAACAGGAUUAGAUACCCCUGUAGUCCCUGUCUCUUAUAA
Molecule: ribosomal RNA, 304 nt
Filed under: uncultured bacterium
Lineage: Bacteria
Description: partial 16S ribosomal RNA
Rfam family: Bacterial small subunit ribosomal RNA
Source: RNAcentral